Molecule: transfer RNA, 72 nt
Filed under: Desulfurococcus mucosus DSM 2162
Lineage: Archaea; Thermoproteati; Thermoproteota; Thermoprotei; Desulfurococcales; Desulfurococcaceae
Description: tRNA-Trp
Source: RNAcentral
GGGACCGUUAGGGAUGACUGGGAUCUGGAGGGAGUGACCCGUAGGUCAGGGGUUCGAAUCCCCUCGGGCCCA